UCCAUCGUGGUGCAGUGGUAGCACGCCAGACCAUACACGUUGGUGCGCCGCAUUGCUUACGAGCGUGCCGCGCUGGUCCCAGAGCCGUCGAUGUCUCGUACAUUGACCGAGCUCAGGGAUAGGUGCGAGUAGUGCAGAACGGCAUGUCAGUCUGGAGGCCCGAGUUCGACUCUCGGCGAUGGAA
Molecule: non-coding RNA, 184 nt
Organism: Phyllosticta citribraziliensis
Lineage: Eukaryota; Fungi; Ascomycota; Dothideomycetes; Botryosphaeriales; Phyllostictaceae
Source: the annotation of a GenBank genome assembly